Long non-coding RNA from Salvelinus sp. IW2-2015, 314 nucleotides. RefSeq lists it as uncharacterized. The record is from RefSeq and is a predicted model, not a curated record. Lineage: Eukaryota; Metazoa; Chordata; Actinopteri; Salmoniformes; Salmonidae.
AAAGGGGGAGGAAUAUUGUCGACGCACAGCGUCUACAGCUAGCUAUCCAGAGACCUGAGCUAGCUAACAGACUAGCAAACAAAAGUCUUGUUUUGAACUUUUGACGUAAUGGGGGAAAAGCCGUUGAAGAUCCUCGCAUGUGGUGACGUAGAAGGACGCAUUACUGCUGUGUUUAACCGCGUCCGAACCAUCCAGAAGAAGAGCGGGCAGUUUGAUCUGUUGCUGUGUGUAGGAAACUUCUUCGGUUCGUCUCCAGGAGCUCAGGCUGAAUGGCAGGAGUACACAUCUGGAGCAAAGAAAGCUCCCAUCCAAAC